GACGAACGCUGGCGGCGUGCUUAACACAUGCAAGUCGAACGAAGAGCGAUGGAAGCUUGCUUCUAUCAAUCUUAGUGGCGAACGGGUGAGUAACGCGUAAUCAACCUGCCCUUCAGAGGGGGACAACAGUUGGAAACGACUGCUAAUACCGCAUACGAUCUAAUCUCGGCAUCGAGGAUAGAUGAAAGGUGGCCUCUACAUGUAAGCUAUCACUGAAGGAGGGGAUUGCGUCUGAUUAGCUAGUUGGAGGGGUAACGGCCCACCAAGGCGAUGAUCAGUAGCCGGUCUGAGAGGAUGAACGGCCACAUUGGGACUGAGACACGGCCCAGACUCCUACGGGAGGCAGCAGGGGGGAAUCUUCCGCAAUGGACGAAAGUCUGACGGAGCAACGCCGCGUGAGUGAUGACGGCCGUCGGGUUGUAAAGCUCUGUUAAUCGGGACGAAAGGCCUUCUUGCGAAUAGUGAGAAGGAUUGACGGUACCGGAAGAGAAAGCCACGGCUAACUACGUG
RNAcentral lists this ribosomal RNA (510 nucleotides) under uncultured bacterium. RNAcentral's name for it is "partial 16S ribosomal RNA". It matches the Rfam family "Bacterial small subunit ribosomal RNA", at positions 28 to 507 of the family's 1533-position model. The record is from RNAcentral.